UACAGAGGUCUCAAGCGUUGUUCGGAUUUAUUGGGCGUAAAGAGCUCGUAGGCGGCUUGUCGCGUCGUUCGUGAAAACCUGCAGCUCAACUGCAGGCCUGCGGUCGAUACGGGCAGGCUAGAGUUCGGUAGGGGAGACUGGAAUUCCUGGUGUAGCGGUGAAAUGCGCAGAUAUCAGGAGGAACACCGGUGGCGAAGGCGGGUCUCUGGGCCGAUACUGACGCUGAGGAGCGAAAGCGUGGGGAGCGAACAGG
Molecule: ribosomal RNA, 253 nt
Filed under: uncultured bacterium
Lineage: Bacteria
Description: partial 16S ribosomal RNA
Rfam family: Bacterial small subunit ribosomal RNA
Source: RNAcentral